This 1245-nucleotide ribosomal RNA is filed under the name Aster yellows phytoplasma. RNAcentral describes it as "bacterial SSU rRNA". It matches the Rfam family "Bacterial small subunit ribosomal RNA", at positions 153 to 1399 of the family's 1533-position model. The record is from RNAcentral. Lineage: Bacteria; Bacillati; Mycoplasmatota; Mollicutes; Acholeplasmatales; Acholeplasmataceae.
GAAACGACUGCUAAGACUGGAUAGGAGACAAGAAGGCAUCUUCUUGUUUUUAAAAGACCUAGCAAUAGGUAUGCUUAGGUAGGAGCUUGCGUCACAUUAGUUAGUUGGUGGGGUAAAGGCCUACCAAGACUAUGAUGUGUAGCCGGGCUGAGAGGUUGAACGGCCACAUUGGGACUGAGACACGGCCCAAACUCCUACGGGAGGCAGCAGUAGGGAAUUUUCGGCAAUGGAGGAAACUCUGACCGAGCAACGCCGCGUGAACGAUGAAGUAUUUCGGUACGUAAAGUUCUUUUAUUAGGGAAGAAUAAAUGAUGGAAAAAUCAUUCUGACGGUACCUAAUGAAUAAGCCCCGGCUAACUAUGUGCCAGCAGCCGCGGUAAUACAUAGGGGGCAAGCGUUAUCCGGAAUUAUUGGGCGUAAAGGGUGCGUAGGCGGUUAAAUAAGUUUGUGGUCUAAGUGCAAUGCUCAACAUUGUGAUGCUAUAAAAACUGUUUAGCUAGAGUAAGAUAGAGGCAAGUGGAAUUCCAUGUGUAGUGGUAAAAUGCGUAAAUAUAUGGAGGAACACCAGUAGCGAAGGCGGCUUGCUGGGUCUUUACUGACGCUGAGGCACGAAAGCGUGGGGAGCAAACAGGAUUAGAUACCCUGGUAGUCCACGCCGUAAACGAUGAGUACUAAACGUUGGGUAAAACCAGUGUUGAAGCUAACACAUUAAGUACUCCGCCUGAGUAGUACGUACGCAAGUAUGAAACUUAAAGGAAUUGACGGGACUCCGCACAAGCGGUGGAUCAUGUUGUUUAAUUCGAAGGUACCCGAAAAACCUCACCAGGUCUUGACAUGCUUCUGCAAAGCCGUAGAAACACAGUGGAGGUUAUCAGUUGCACAGGUGGUGCAUGGUUGUCGUCAGCUCGUGUCGUGAGAUGUUGGGUUAAGUCCCGCAACGAGCGCAACCCUUAUUGUUAGUUACCAGCACGUAAUGGUGGGGACUUAGCAAGACUGCCAGUGAUAAAUUGGAGGAAGGUGGGGACGACGUCAAAUCAUCAUGCCCCUUAUGACCUGGGCUACAAACGUGAUACAAUGGCUGUUACAAAGGGUAGCUGGAGCGCAAGUUUUUGGCGAAUCUCAAAAAAACAGUCUCAGUUCGGAUUGAAGUCUGCAACUCGACUUCAUGAAGUUGGAAUCGCUAGUAAUCGCGAAUCAGCAUGUCGCGGUGAAUACGUUCUCGGGGUUUGUACACACCGCCCGUCA